RNAcentral lists this ribosomal RNA (222 nucleotides) under Amblyomma vikirri. Its description in RNAcentral is "partial 12S ribosomal RNA". The record is from RNAcentral. Lineage: Eukaryota; Metazoa; Arthropoda; Arachnida; Ixodida; Ixodidae.
UAAUUAGAUUUGGUUUUAUAUAAAAAUAUAAAUAUAUUUUUUAUGAUUUUAUUAAAAAAAUAAAUCUCAGAAAAUUAAAUUUAUUUAAUAAUAAAAUAUUAUUGAAAUAUAUAUAAAGAUUUUUAGCUAAAUUUGUGCCAGCAGCAGCUGGUUAACAAAUAAAAAUUUUUAUAUUAUUNAAAANUAUUNAAAAAAAAAUAUUUUNAAAUGUAUUUUUCANAA